AUUUGGUAAUAUUUUUAAAAAAAACCUUUAUAUAAUGGCGGCAUUAUAUCUUAUUAGAGGAAUCUGUUUUUUAAUCGAAAAUACACGCUAAUUCUUACUUUUUUAUAAAUUUUAUAUACCUCCGUUAUAAGAAUAAAUUAAAAAAUUUUAUUCUAAAUAAUAUUAUAUUAUAUUAGGUAAAGGUGUAGACCAUAAAAAAGAUAAAAUAUAUUACAUUAAAUAUAAUUUAAGAAUAUUUAUUAAAAAUUAAUUUGAAAAAGAAUUUAUAAGUAAUAUUAUAUAAUAAUAUUUUAAUAUGAAUAAGAAUAUUAAUGUGU
RNAcentral lists this ribosomal RNA (317 nucleotides) under Cyrtognatha sp. GH12. Its description in RNAcentral is "partial 12S ribosomal RNA". Lineage: Eukaryota; Metazoa; Arthropoda; Arachnida; Araneae; Tetragnathidae. The record is from RNAcentral.